RNAcentral lists this ribosomal RNA (1457 nucleotides) under uncultured Bordetella sp. Its description in RNAcentral is "partial 16S-23S ribosomal RNA intergenic spacer". It matches the Rfam family "Bacterial small subunit ribosomal RNA". Lineage: Bacteria; Pseudomonadati; Pseudomonadota; Betaproteobacteria; Burkholderiales; Alcaligenaceae. The record is from RNAcentral.
GGUUUGAUCAUGGCUCAGAUUGAACGCGCUGGCGGGAUGCUUUACAUGCAAGUCGAACGGCAGCACGGACUUCGGUCUGGUGGCGAGUGGCGAACGGGUGAUAAUGUAUCGGAACGUGCCUAGUAUGCGGGGAACUAACUACGCGAAAGCGUAGCCUAAUACCGCAUACUGCGCCCUUCGGGGAAAGCAGGGGACAGCUUCAGGCCUCGCACUAUUAGAGCAGCCGAUAUCCGGAUUAGCUGAAUUGGUGGGGUAACGGCUCGCAAGGCGACGAUCCGUAGCUGGUUUGAGAGGACGACCAGCCACACUGGGACUGAGACACGGCCCAGACUCCUACAGGAGGCGCUGAUCGGUACCAGAUAAUGGGAAGCCUGGUCCAGCCGUCGCAUUGACCGAUGAAGAGCCUUCGGGUUUGUGGCUUACUUUUUGGCGGAAAACAUGCAGGAUAUGCCCGUACAGCAAUACCUGCAGAAUAAGCACCGGCUAACUACGUGCAACUGGCGCGGUGUACAUGGGGUGCAAGCGUUAAUCGGAAUUACUGAACGUAAAGCGUGCGCAGGCGGUUCGGAAAGAAGAUGUGAAAUCCCAGAGCUUAACUUUGGAACUGCAUUUUUUGCUACGAAGAGCUGAGUGUGUCAGGAGGUGGAAUUCCGCGUGUAGCGGUGAAAUGCGUAGAUAUGCGGAGGAACACCGAUGGCGAAGGCAGCCUCUGGGAUAGCUUACUGACGCUCAUGCACAGCGAUGAGAGCAAACAGGAUUAGAUGCCCUGGUAGUCCACGCCUAAACGAUGUCAUGGCUGUUGAGGCCUUGGGCCUUGAUGGCCUGUACUUAACGUGAAGUUGACCGCCUGGGGAGAUACGGUCGCAAGAUUAAAACUCCAAAAGGAAUUGACGGGGACCCACUGACGGUGGAUGAUGGUUAGUUGUUCAGCGAAAGCCUUACCCUUGACAUAUCUGGAAUCGAAGAGAUUUGGGAGUGCUCGCAAGAGAACCGGAACACAGGUGCUGCAUGGCUGUCGUCAGCUCGUGUCGUGAGAUGUUGGGUAAGUCCCGCAACGAGCGCUGACAUAUCUGUUAGUUACUUUACGAAGGCACUCUUGAGGCUUGCCGGUGAUAAACCGGAGGAAGGUCGAGGAUGACGUCAAGUCCUCAUGGCCCUUAUGGGUAGGGCUUCACGUCAUACGAUGGUCGGGACAGAAGGGUCACGCCAACCCGCGAGGGGAGCCAAUCCCAGAAACCCGAUCGUAGUCCGGAUCGCAGUCUGCAACUCGACUGCGUGAAGUCGAAUCCGCUAGUAAUCGCGGAUCAACGUAAUAAGCGGUGAAUACGUUCCCGGGUCUUGUACACACCGCCCGUCACACCAGCAGGGAGUGGUUUUGCCAGAAGUGAUUAUUUAGCGUAAGAAGGCGAAUUCACCGGUAGGAUUCAUGACUGGGGGUGAAGUCAGCAACCAAUUCA